GACGGAGAGUGCAAACGUUGUUCGGAUUUACUGGGCGUAGAGGGCACGUAGGCGGCCAGGCAAAUCAGUUGUGGAAUCCCGACGCCUACCGUCGGAACGGCAAUUGAAAAUACCUGGCUCGAGGGCAUGAGGGGUCGCGGGAACUCUUGGUGGAGCGGUGAAAUGCGUAGAUAUCAAGAGGAACGCCGGAGGCGAAAGCGCGCGACUGGUAUGUCCCUGACGCUGAGGUGCGAAAGCCGGGGGAGCAAACAGG
RNAcentral lists this ribosomal RNA (253 nucleotides) under uncultured bacterium. RNAcentral's name for it is "partial 16S ribosomal RNA". It matches the Rfam family "Bacterial small subunit ribosomal RNA", at positions 524 to 776 of the family's 1533-position model. The record is from RNAcentral.